UUAUACAUUGAUUUCCUAAUUUCUAUCUUGUUAUUUUUGAACCUUUUAACAGUUAUUAUUCAUUUGUCUAGUGAAAUCGUAUUCCAUUUGUAAAUAAAAGCUUUAGUUCAAUAAAAUAAAUUUAAUAAUAAAACUAGGAUUAGAUACCCUAUUAUUCUAAAUUUUAAAUAUUAAGAAGUAAAAUAAAUCUCAAACUUAAUCAGGACGACGGUAGAAUUUUAUUAGAGGAGGUUGUUCUUUAAUCGAUAACCCUCGCUCGUUUCUUUUUCUUUAUUAUGUAUAUCGCCGUUGAAACUCAACUUAAGAUUGAGUUAACUUAUUUAUAACUAUAGGUCAACAGGUCUAGAUACAAAUAAUGUAAAAGUGUGAAAUGACCUACAAAAUACAAAUAAUCUUAGUGGUAUCCAGUAUAAUGCUAGAUACCAAAGGAUUUAAAAGUAAUAUUAAUUAAUUCUAAUAGUAUAAUGAAUUACACUGAUUCUAUGCAC
This 488-nucleotide ribosomal RNA is filed under the name Trichuris trichiura (human whipworm). Its description in RNAcentral is "partial small subunit ribosomal RNA". The record is from RNAcentral. Lineage: Eukaryota; Metazoa; Nematoda; Enoplea; Trichinellida; Trichuridae.